RNAcentral lists this ribosomal RNA (888 nucleotides) under Verrucomicrobia bacterium SCGC AAA204-F04. RNAcentral describes it as "bacterial SSU rRNA". It matches the Rfam family "Bacterial small subunit ribosomal RNA", at positions 34 to 896 of the family's 1533-position model. Lineage: Bacteria; Pseudomonadati; Verrucomicrobiota. The record is from RNAcentral.
CGCUGGCGGCGUGGAUAAGACAUGCAAGUUGAACGGUUGAUACAGGGUAGCAAUAUUCUGUGUUAGCAGUGGCGUAAGGGUGCUUAACACGUGGGUAAUCUGCCGCGAAGUGUGGGAUAACUCGCUGAAAGGCGAGCUAAUACCGCAUGUGAUUUUCUUGAGGCAUCUCAGGGAAUUCAAACAUGGGUUGCAAGACCUGUGGUUUCGCGAUGAGCCCGCGGCCUAUCAGCUAGUUGGCGGGGUAAAGGCCCACCAAGGCUAAGACGGGUAGCUGGUCUGAGAGGACGACCAGCCACACUGGAACUGAGACACGGUCCAGACACCUACGGGUGGCAGCAGUCGAGAAUUUUUCACAAUGGGGGAAACCCUGAUGGAGCGACGCCGCGUGGGGGAUGAAGGGCUUCGGUUCGUAAACCCCUGUCAUUGGCGAACAAGUGUUACGUUAUAAUACAGCGUGACUUGAUAGUAGCCGAAGAGGAAGGGACGGCUAACUCUGUGCCAGCAGCCGCGGUAAUACAGAGGUCCCGAGCGUUGUUCGGAUUCACUGGGCGUAAAGGGUGCGUAGGUGGUUGGUUAAGUUUGAGGUGAAAGCUCCGAGCUCAACUCGGAAAAUGCCUUGAAGACUAUCUGACUAGAGGAUUGGAGGGGAGAUUGGAAUUCUCGGUGUAGCAGUGAAAUGCGUAGAUAUCGAGAGGAACACCAGUGGCGAAGGCGAAUCUCUGGACAAUUCCUGACACUGAGGCACGAAAGCCAAGGGAGCAAACGGGAUUAGAUACCCCGGUAGUCUUGGCUGUAAACGGUGCGCACUUGCUGUGAGCGGAUUCGACCCCGCUCGUGGCGUAGUUAACACGAUAAGUGCGCCGCCUGGGAAGUACGGUCGCAAGAUAA